RNAcentral lists this ribosomal RNA (470 nucleotides) under uncultured prokaryote. RNAcentral's name for it is "partial 16S ribosomal RNA". The record is from RNAcentral.
CCCUAUGGGGCGCAGCAGGCGAUCAACCACGAGUCGGUUCGUGUUUCUCCAGGGGAUGUGGCCCAAAAAAUAUUAGGACGAGUUCUGUCGUCCGAUCAUGAUGGGGGCGACAUUACAUUUACAGGGUACAGAUGAAGACAACUAUGCCUCUUAAACCAGCUUUUGAAACACGUCUCACCGAGAUUGUUUUUGCCGCUAUUGUGGCGUUUUUUCUUUUUCUUCCGAUUGUUUUGGCAGUGCUUCAUAUUCCAAAAUCUUCCCAUAUUUAUACGGCGGCGCCAUACAGGGUUGCCCCCUUUGGAUUUUUCAAACAGGUUACUUAUGAAGAAAAAGACGAUAUCGAUAUUCUUUUUCUCGGCACAUCAUUAACCUGGAAUGGAAUUGAUGCCAGAAUGGUCAAGGAGGAACUUUCCAGGGUUCACCACCGAAAAGCUGUUGUCCUGAAUUUUGGGGGGAAUUGGCGGGAGGGC